This 451-nucleotide ribosomal RNA is filed under the name uncultured bacterium. Its description in RNAcentral is "bacterial SSU rRNA". It matches the Rfam family "Bacterial small subunit ribosomal RNA", at positions 29 to 524 of the family's 1533-position model. The record is from RNAcentral.
AACGAACGCUGGCGGCAGGCCUAACACAUGCAAGUCGAACGCUCGUAGCAAUACGAGAGUGGCAGACGGGUGAGUAACACGUGGGAACCUUCCCUAUGGUUCGGAAUAGCUCAGGGAAACUUGAGGUAAUACCGGAUAAGCCCUUCGGGGAAGAUUAUCGCCAUUGGAUGGGCCCGCGUCGGAUUAGCUAGUUGGUGAGGUAACGGCUCACCAAGGCGACGAUCCGUAGCUGGUCNGAGGGGAUGAUCAGCCACACUGGGACUGAGACACGGCCCAGACUCCUACGGGAGGCAGCAGUGGGGAAUAUUGGACAAUGGGCGCAAGCCUGAUCCAGCCAUGCCGCGUGAGUGACGAAGGUCUUCGGAUUGUAAAGCUCUUUUGGCGGGGACGAUAAUGACGGUACCCGCAGAAUAAGCCCCGCUAACUUCGUGCCAGCAGCAGCCGCGGUAAC